CAGUCGCCGCGGUAAUACGGAGGGUGCAAGCGUUAAUCGGAAUUACUGGGCGUAAAGCGCACGCAGGCGGUUUGUUAAGUCAGAUGUGAAAUCCCCGAGCUUAACUUGGGAACCGCAUUUGAAACUGGCAAGCUAGAGUCUCGUAGAGGGGGGUAGAAUUCCAGGUGUAGCGGUGAAAUGCGUAGAGAUCUGGAGGAAUACCGGUGGCGAAGGCGGCCCCCUGGACAAAGACUGACGCUCAGGUGCGAAAGCGUGGGGAGCAAACAGGAUUAGAUACCCCGGUAGUCCCUGUCUCUUAUAC
Molecule: ribosomal RNA, 301 nt
Filed under: uncultured bacterium
Lineage: Bacteria
Description: partial 16S ribosomal RNA
Rfam family: Bacterial small subunit ribosomal RNA
Source: RNAcentral